GCGAGGCUGCCCGGCACGCACUGAUAAGAACAUCCCUGAGGCGAUUAAUCAUCCAAGGGAACUGUCCCUGCCCGAACCUUGGUUCGGAACAUAUGGUGCCCACCUGACUCUUUGGCGUCAGAGGAUAUUCCGGGAGGCGACCCAUGGUGGUCUCGCU
This 157-nucleotide non-coding RNA is filed under the name Allosphingorhabdus lutea. RNAcentral describes it as "Sphingorhabdus lutea 6S / SsrS RNA". It matches the Rfam family "6S / SsrS RNA". Rfam says of the family: E. coli 6S RNA was the first non coding RNA to be sequenced, but its function was unknown until recently. It consists of 184 nucleotides that fold into an extended hairpin structure with a large single-stranded internal bulge. The record is from Rfam by way of RNAcentral. Lineage: Bacteria; Pseudomonadati; Pseudomonadota; Alphaproteobacteria; Sphingomonadales; Sphingorhabdaceae.